RNAcentral lists this ribosomal RNA (326 nucleotides) under Varanus eremius. Its description in RNAcentral is "partial 12S ribosomal RNA". It matches the Rfam family "Bacterial small subunit ribosomal RNA", at positions 857 to 1349 of the family's 1533-position model. The record is from RNAcentral. Lineage: Eukaryota; Metazoa; Chordata; Lepidosauria; Squamata; Varanidae.
AGAACAACCCAUCCGCCUGAGAACUACUAGCAAAAGCUAAAAACUCAAAAGACUUGACGGUGCUUUACCCUGCCUAGAGGAGCCUGUCCUUUAAUCGAUACUCCACGAUUCACCCGACCACCGCUAGCAACUUCAGCCUAUAUACCGCCGUCGAAAGUAUAUCCCCCAAGAGACACAUAAUUUUCCCAAUAGUUCUCCCACUAAAACGUCAGGCCAAGGCAUAGCUAAUGCAGUGGCAGAGAUGGGCUACAUUUUCUGAUCACAGAACAUACGAAAGAUAGCAUGAAACCCGCUAUCCAAAGGCGGAUUUAGCAGUAAGGUGAAAA